RNAcentral lists this non-coding RNA (80 nucleotides) under Sulfurovum sp. AR. Its description in RNAcentral is "c-di-GMP-I riboswitch aptamer". It matches the Rfam family "c-di-GMP-I riboswitch aptamer". Rfam says of the family: GEMM was predicted in a large-scale screen for bacterial structured RNA regulatory elements. RNAcentral also lists the same sequence under 1 other name. The record is from Rfam by way of RNAcentral. Lineage: Bacteria; Pseudomonadati; Campylobacterota; Epsilonproteobacteria; Campylobacterales; Sulfurovaceae.
AAAGUAUUAGGCCAAACCUGUUGUGAAGCAGGGACGGAAAGCUUCAGGUCUUUUGAAAAGAAGAUAGCUGGGUUGCAUUU